This is a non-coding RNA of Chiloscyllium plagiosum (whitespotted bambooshark), 551 nucleotides long. Lineage: Eukaryota; Metazoa; Chordata; Chondrichthyes; Orectolobiformes; Hemiscylliidae. The record is from the annotation of a RefSeq genome assembly.
GCCUGGUACUCAUUGGCUUUCACACGAUGCCUUUGCCAAUAAUGGUCCAAUGAGCAGAGGUCCGGAAAUUACUCAACCUGAAUUACCCAACUCUUGACGAGAACCAUUUUAGCUUCAGCCAGUUCUGUUCACAUUCACCGUGAACUCUCUGCAAACAUGUUACCAGGAGCUCUGGGUUUACUCUUCACAACUGCAGCUCUUCUAACUGGACUUUGUCGUGGCGAUUCAGUCUCACAAACACCGGCUGCAAUCAAACUGAAUGAGGGGGACGAUGUGCUGUUGUUCUGUAAUUACACUACAACAAACAGCAAUCCUGACCUGUACUGGUACCGUCAACCUUCCAACGGAUCCGUGCAGUUUCUGCUGCAGAAAAACCAAUAUAGCGAGAAAACGGGGAGUUUUCCACUAGGCCGGCUUUCCUGGAAUUUUGAUCCUGUGAACCGCACUAUCAAGCUGAAUGUGUUGAACAUAGAACUAACAGACUCCGCAGUGUAUUACUGCGCACUGCGUCCCACAGAGAAUGAGAACUGGGCUGACCCUGUACAAAAACU